UAGUAUUAAUAAUUCUGCAGG
Molecule: non-coding RNA, 21 nt
Filed under: Caenorhabditis elegans
Lineage: Eukaryota; Metazoa; Nematoda; Chromadorea; Rhabditida; Rhabditidae
Source: RNAcentral